This 21-nucleotide microRNA is filed under the name Brugia malayi. RNAcentral describes it as "bma-miR-2g-5p". Its record names the gene bma-miR-2g-5p. The record is from miRBase by way of RNAcentral. Lineage: Eukaryota; Metazoa; Nematoda; Chromadorea; Rhabditida; Onchocercidae.
AUAUCACAAACAAAAUUCUGG